CCCGCCCUGCUCUGUUCCCUGUGUGCAGUCUCACACCCUCCCUGAGUUGAGGUGAGGGUGGGCGCAGGUUCCCACCUACCCAGAAGGUGGGCCUUCUGGAGGCCACGCCUCCACCCAGAGAUGCAGGACUGGAUCUGCAGGGCCCUCUGUCCUCACACUCUACAAGGAGGACACCGGGGCUCAGACACGCCCUGCCCCACGUCCAGGACUCUGAGGUGGCGGGUCCAGGACUUGAACUCCAGUCUUGCUGAGCCCACAGAGCCUUCUGCUCCUUCUGGAUGCUUCCUCCUGGCUGCACCACAGAAUCUCUGGGCCUCACCCUGUGAGUGCAGAGCCCUGCGGGGUGAGCCCGGAGACUGUAUUUAAUAACGCUUCUCAGGGGGUUCCAUCUGCAGCUGUGCGACCCUGGCUCAUCCAGAGCCUUCCCUGGACAGAGGGGAUGAAGGUCAGAGCAGUCAUGAGCCAUCCAGCUGACAGUCCCUGGGACCCCCUCUGAUGGAGGCCCUGCCCGCCUGUGACUGGUGGUGGGCGGGGUGAGAGAUUGGGGGCUGGGAACUUUGGUGGCCCCCCAGGGCUGGCUGGGAUGGAGGCUCUGCUCACCCGCUCUCCAGGAUGACGUUGGCAUUGGUUCACAGAAUGGACCAUGGGGGUGGGAGGACAUGAUUUGAACUUCCUUUUUCCUUUUCUCAGUUUCUUUCCCAAUCCUAAUAGAUGUUUUCCACAGUUCUCUCAUGGCCAGCCAGGUAGUCCUGGCUUUCUCUACGUGCCUGCACUUAUAGGCCUCAGAGGACAGAUUCUGCACUUUCAUGGAACCCUCUUAUCUGAGUCAAGCCCUAAACCUGCGUUUUCUCAUUUUCAGCUUUACAACAUUCUGUGGUGAUGUAUCCUUAUGUUCAUUUUACCCAGGGAGAAACUGAGGCCCAGAGCCUUAAUGGCAUGGAGAGUCCCAAACUCUCCCAUUCCUGUUGGGGGAAGGGAGGAUGAACUCCUGUCACCAAUUCAGCCCAAGCAUCUUUCAAAGUCCACAGGGAGGUGACCUCACUUACUCUGGUUCCCUCCAGGUCUGGAUUUGGACCGCACUCAGGUCUGUCUGCCUCGUGAGCUUGGUGCUUACCCAAGAUUGCCCCUCCCCCACCAGCCACCCCGUUAACCUCCCUCACUUCCCCUUCCUUCCACAGCCCAUCCUGGGGGGUCAUUCAUUGUGCUUCAUUCAGCCGGCCCCUUCUCAGGGUCUGGGGAAACAAAGGCAGGAGGGAUGUGAGUGUGGCCCCUGAGGUGAGGCAGGACACAUGAGGCAAAGAAAGAGCACAGGGAAGGGGGAGGUACGAAGGGCAAGGUCUUGGUCUCUGCUCUUUCCCGUGGGCUGUCCACGGGCCUCUGCUGACAUCAGCACUCUGUGUACUUCCUCUUGUUUUGCAGGCAGGGAGGGGCCCAGAGAAGGCUUCUCCUGCCCUGGUUGGGUGCAGGCGUGCAGUGAGCCCUCCAGGAACUAGAGUCCAGCUGGGAAGGGAAGACUCUCAGCUUGCUUCACUAUGUGAGGCAAGUAGAGGGAGGCCCAGGCCCCACAAAGUUGCAACAGGCAGGGAUGACAUCUCCCACUUCCUGUGUGUCGGGUGCUUUGCACUCGUGUUGGCCAUGUUUUCUUAUUUGCUGUAUUCUUGAUGCUCUGACAUCUGGGGCCUCACUAACCAGGGAGAGACUGUCCCUCCCAGGGCUGCCAGUUCUUAGAAGAGCAAUGGACGUGCCCAGGAGCUCACCUGUCAUAUGCAAACCAACCAGUCCAGAGCCCACGCUCCCCACCACCUCCUCCAUCUGGCUCUUAUGCUCCAGGAGGCCCAUGUUCUUCUGCCAUAUUCAUCCCAGGGCCAGGUGCCAGGCAACUAGGGACAGCCCGUAAUCCCCAGAGCCCACAGACAUUAUUCAUACCAGCUGAUCCUAAACCUGCCUGCUCUCCCUUGCCUUGUCUUUCUCACAGAACCUACAACAAAGGCUCCUGCCCAUGUUUCCCCCUCCCUCCCUCCGCCUCCUGACUGACCCUAGUGCCUCCCUGCAUGGCCCUGCGUGGAGUGCUGGGCAUCUUGUUUUUAUGGUUUUGUGAAUAUAAACUGCUUCCUUCAUAACAGUCAUUUGCAUGUGUGUCUUACCAUACCUGAUUAAAACACAUCCAGGUUAUGUUUUAAAAUAGCUCUUAACUCUCCCAGCAGCCCCAGGAGGUAAGCAGGGUCUAUUUUGAUCCUCAUUUUUAUGCAGGAAGAAACUCAGGUCCCGAGUGAGAUGAUGAGAUUUAACUGAGGUCACAUCACGUGUAAAUGUCUGCUGUGGCGUUGGCUCUGAGCCCAGAGCCUGUGCUCCCUACCACUUCUCCACGCAGUGAUGAAGGUCAACAGCCCCUCUGGCCCCGUUAACAGCCAACGCUUCCCUUUUCUGUGUUGUCUUCCUUCUGCACAGGGAGAAGCUUGAGGACUGAUUGGGACACUGGCUCAGGGGGUCCUUGUCACGUGGCACAGAGAUGAGAGCAGAGGGCUGAGAACUGGGGAUCAAAGGCUGACCCCCGACCUUGCUGAGCUCCCAGGCUGGGAGAAGUGCAGGAUACUCGGAAGAAUGGGACCAAGAGAUCAUUGUCUGCACUUCCCCUCAGAGCAGUGUGCUGGUUUCCCCAGGAUUCUGGGCUCCUGUUCUCUAGUUUCCUGAGGUUCACAGGUUCAUCUUUGGUGAGUUUGCUGGUUUUCUCACUGUUUCUCUGCUUCUUCCUGACCACACUCUUCAGUGCCUAUUUCUCAGCCAUCCCAACUAAACACACAGGGUUUUCAGUGAAUCUGUGCUAAAGAGUGACUUGUUCUGUGGACCCUUUCCAGGAUCGCAAUGUUCCACCCUAUCCCCUGGGAAGGAACUAUAGAGCUCAAGUAAGACUUCAAAAUGUUUUCAUGUGAAAAUACCUCACCCCCGCAACCUCUCAUGUCAUCCAAGCACAAAUUCUUCUUUCAUCCUGUAACCCCCAGGGUCAGUGUUGACUGGAGUUCAAAGGACAAAGUGAAGACUUUAAGUGUCACUUAGCUGAAGACUUUUCUCAGCAAUCUGGAAAAACCCUGUUCACUUUAUAAUUUAGGAGAGAACAACAACUCACCUUCUGGCAGAGCUCAUGGUCACAAGGGAAGAAAAAGUCUUACUGAAAAAUAUUUUAAAUGAUUUAAAAGCAAUGAUUCAACAGUAAGAUUAACAGGCCAUGCACAGCAAUGCCAGUUCCCUGAAAAGCAUUCCUUGCUGUCACUUGUCAACAUGGGGAAGGUUCAGCCUGUGCAGAGGCCUCCACCUCUCCUGCUGGAACUGGCCUCAGCUAUGGUUCCAUCCUGGCCUGGGCCUGACCAGCUGGUGUUGCUGCUCAUGAAGCCCACAGCCCUGCCUCUGCCAGCACAGGGCUUACUGGCACAAAACGCUUCAGAGCUGUAGUUGUCAAGGUGGGGCAUUUGCACUGCACAUGGUACAAAAUAUCCACUGGCGUCAUGCAGGAAAAAUUAGUAUUUCUAAUUUUUAAAGAUAACAGUAAUAAAAAGUUAACUUCAUUGUAUUUUUAAGUGACACUGGUACCCUCACUGGGAUCCUCAUGCCAUGGUUCACCUCUAACAAGAUCAGUAUCCUAAGGUCAGAGAGGCAAAUUCAAGAUUAUGACCAACUGCAACUUAUGUGCUACAGGAUGUAAUGGUUUUGUGGUCCCAAACAGUAUAUACCCCCUUUAAGAAUGCUGUUAUUUGAAUUUGGAAAUCAUUUUCUGACCUGUUGACAAGUCUUCCAAAUGAAGAAUCUCAGUGGGUUUUGACUCAUUUAUUUAAAAAGUAAUAAAUGCAGCCAAAGAAGCACCUAUUCUACUUGGAUUUACAUAUGUUUGAGACAUACUCUUUUCAGUUAUGAAGGUCAGUUUAUUUUGAGAGUUUUUAAUGAAAUUUCAACUAGAACUUCAGAAAACGUUAAGCCAUGAUUUUAAAAUUGUUUCUCAAAACAGGCAGAGUAGAAAGACGUGAG
Long non-coding RNA from Aethalodelphis obliquidens (Pacific white-sided dolphin), 4017 nucleotides. RefSeq lists it as uncharacterized. NCBI's taxonomy places the organism in Eukaryota, Metazoa, Chordata, Mammalia, Artiodactyla, Delphinidae. The record is from RefSeq and is a predicted model, not a curated record. The transcript is spliced from 3 exons.